Ornithodoros turicata is the source of this 785-nucleotide long non-coding RNA. RefSeq lists it as uncharacterized. The transcript has 2 exons. Lineage: Eukaryota; Metazoa; Arthropoda; Arachnida; Ixodida; Argasidae. The record is from RefSeq and is a predicted model, not a curated record.
UUCCGCGCGAUAGCGCAGAUAGCGCAAGAGAUAAAAGAGCGAGCGCUCGGGAAAAGAGGAUAUUCGUGCGGCAGGCAGGCUGGCAGACGGUCACAGAAGCGAGGAGCGACGAAGCGGGCAGACGGCCAGCAGCUCUGAUAUGCCACGACCACCUGCAGCAAGAAGCCGUUCUCGACCCCAACAACGGCACCGACCUCAGCGAUUCCCUGGAAACUCUCCUGCUCGGAGGCCUUCCCCGUCACCCAGAUCCCCAAACAGAUCAAACAGACACCCCACCGAGCCUCCAGCGGUGUACACAGAACAAGAAAGAAGCGCCCUCUGCCCCUUCUGCGGUGUUCCACUGAUCCACCCUCCGACCCAUAAUGCGGGAGCCCUUUACCUGCAUCGUAUCCAACAAGCCACACAGCAGAGGGCAGCAGCUAACAACGUGGCCUCCGCUCCUACACGUCGGGACAUAGUCGCUGCAGUGAACCUACUUCGGCUGCUGGCCCCCCAAGUUCUCGCUCGGCCAUCCUUCUCACCGGACCCUGAGGAUAUAAUCCUCGACCUCCCCGAACUUCCGGACAUUUGCCUCAAGGGUGGGAGAGUGUGGGGGGCGCUGAUAACCCGGCAACUUCCGCGCGAUAGCGCAGAUAGCGCAAGAGAUAAAAGAGCGAGCGCUCGGGAAAAGAGGAUAUUCGUGCGGCAGGCAGGCUGGCAGACGGUCACAGAAGCGAGGAGCGACGAAGCGGGCAGACGGCCAGCAGCUCUGAUGUGAGGCAAUAAACUUUGUUUCUUUUGUUCAA